Molecule: ribosomal RNA, 254 nt
Filed under: uncultured bacterium
Lineage: Bacteria
Description: partial 16S ribosomal RNA
Rfam family: Bacterial small subunit ribosomal RNA
Source: RNAcentral
UACGUAGGGUGCAAGCGUUUAAUCGGAAUUACUGGGCGUAAAGCGUGCGCAGGCGGUUUUGUAAGUCAGAUGUGAAAUCCCCGGGCUUAACCUGGGAACUGCGUUUGAAACUACAAGGCUAGAGUGUGGCAGAGGGGGGUGGAAUUCCACGUGUAGCAGUGAAAUGCGUAGAGAUGUGGAGGAACACCGAUGGCGAAGGCAGCCCCCUGGGUUAACACUGACGCUCAGGCACGAAAGCGUGGGGAGCAAACAGG